GACGAGUGGCGGACGGGUGAGUAAUGCUUGGGAACUUGCCUUUGCGAGGGGGAUAACAGUUGGAAACGACUGCUAAUACCGCAUAACGUCUACGGACCAAACGGGGCUUAGGCUCCGGCGCAGAGAGAGGCCCAAGUGAGAUUAGCUAGUUGGUGAGGUAAAGGCUCACCAAGGCGACGAUCUCUAGCUGUUCUGAGAGGAAGAUCAGCCACACUGGGACUGAGACACGGCCCAGACUCCUACGGGAGGCAGCAGUGGGGAAUAUUGCACAAUGGGGGAAACCCUGAUGCAGCCAUGCCGCGUGUGUGAAGAAGGCCUUCGGGUUGUAAAGCACUUUCAGUUGUGAGGAAAAGUGAGUAGUUAAUACCUGCUCACCGUGACGUUAGCAACAGAAGAAGCACCGGCUAACUCCGUGCCAGCAGCCGCGGUAAUACGGAGGGU
Molecule: ribosomal RNA, 441 nt
Filed under: Alteromonas hispanica
Lineage: Bacteria; Pseudomonadati; Pseudomonadota; Gammaproteobacteria; Alteromonadales; Alteromonadaceae
Description: bacterial SSU rRNA
Rfam family: Bacterial small subunit ribosomal RNA
Source: RNAcentral